GUUGUAGCUUAGUGGUAGAGUGCUUGCCUCGCAUGCAUGAGGCCCUGGGUUCAAUCCUCAGAACAACA
This 68-nucleotide transfer RNA is filed under the name Ictidomys tridecemlineatus (thirteen-lined ground squirrel). RNAcentral describes it as "Spermophilus tridecemlineatus (thirteen-lined ground squirrel) tRNA". It matches the Rfam family "tRNA". From Rfam's summary of the family: Transfer RNA (tRNA) molecules are approximately 80 nucleotides in length. Lineage: Eukaryota; Metazoa; Chordata; Mammalia; Rodentia; Sciuridae. The record is from Rfam by way of RNAcentral.